GGGUCAAUAGGUUGGUCGUGCCACCGGUACGUACUGGUCUCACUGAUUCCUCCUUCCUGAAGAACCGUAAUGCCAUUAAUUUGGUGUUGCGGGGAAACAGGACUGUUACUUUGAAAAAAUUAGAGUGUUUAAAGCAAGCUAACGCUAGAAUACAUUAGCAUGGAAUAAUGAAAUAGGACGAUCGAUCCUAUUUUGUUGGUCUCUAGGAUUGACGUA
RNAcentral lists this ribosomal RNA (216 nucleotides) under Glomeromycotina sp. RNAcentral's name for it is "partial small subunit ribosomal RNA". The stretch from base 40 to 216 matches the Rfam family "Eukaryotic small subunit ribosomal RNA", at positions 686 to 864 of the family's 1831-position model. The record is from RNAcentral. Lineage: Eukaryota; Fungi; Glomeromycota.